Molecule: ribosomal RNA, 498 nt
Filed under: uncultured bacterium
Lineage: Bacteria
Description: bacterial SSU rRNA
Rfam family: Bacterial small subunit ribosomal RNA
Source: RNAcentral
ACUCAAAGGAAUUGACGGGGGCCCGCACAAGCGGAGGAACAUGUGGUUUAAUUCGAUGAUACGCGAGGAACCUUACCCGGGCUUGAAAUGCAUCCGAUGUAUCCGGAAACGGAUAUUCCCUUCGGGGCGGAUGUGUAGGUGCUGCAUGGUUGUCGUCAGCUCGUGCCGUGAGGUGUCGGCUUAAGUGCCAUAACGAGCGCAACCCUUGUCGUCAGUUGCCAUCGGGUCAAGCCGGGGACUCUGACGAGACUGCCAUCGUAAGAUGCGAGGAAGGUGGGGAUGACGUCAAAUCAGCACGGCCCUUAUGUCCGGGGCGACACACGUGUUACAAUGGGCGGUACAACGGGAAGCUACCUGGCGACAGGAUGCUGAUCUUUAAAUCCGCUCACAGUUCGGAUCGGAGUCUGCAACUCGACUCCGUGAAGUCGGAUUCGCUAGUAAUCGCGCAUCAGCCACGGCGCGGUGAAUACGUUCCCGGGCCUUGUACACACCGCCCGU